This 328-nucleotide ribosomal RNA is filed under the name uncultured eukaryote. Its description in RNAcentral is "partial 18S ribosomal RNA". It matches the Rfam family "Eukaryotic small subunit ribosomal RNA", at positions 1470 to 1796 of the family's 1831-position model. The record is from RNAcentral.
CCCUUAGAUGUUCUGGGCUGCACGCGCGCUACACUGAUGCACUCAACGAGUUUACGACCUUGCCCGAUAGGGUUGGGUAAUCUUUUUAAAAUGCAUCGUGAUGGGGAUAGAUUAUUGCAAUUAUUAAUCUUCAACGAGGAAUUCCUAGUAAGCGCGAGUCAUCAGCUCGUGCUGAUUACGUCCCUGCCCUUUGUACACACCGCCCGUCGCUACUACUGAUUGGAUGUUUAAGCGAGGUUCUCGAACUGCUAGCGACUUAGCUUCGGUGAGGUCGCAGUGUGGGAAGUGAACCUAGCUUUGGUGUCUAGAGGAAGUAAAAGUCGUAACA